UGGACGAGGGAGGAGAAGUCAGGAAGGGCGAACGGGCGGCAGCAGAAACGGCCUCCGGAUUUGGGCCCCGUCCCCACUCACAUCUGCCUUCAAGAAAGCAGGGCGCCUGCUCAGCAGAGCCGGGCGCUCCGGUUGCUCUGCCUCCUGGAGAGCUCCCUACAGCCCCUACAUCCAUCUGUGCCUUACACACAGUAGGUGCUCCAUAAAUGUUUGCCCAGUGCCAGGGAUAUCCGGAAAUGCUGACGUCGGCCAUGGGAUGGCACAAUGAGGAACAAAACACACUUCUGAAAUCAGACAAAACACUUCACGCUCAAGAGUACACUACGGAAGGAUUUCCAUGGCCUUGUAUGUAGUGAGAUGGCAUUUAAAUUGAGGGUAUAAAUUUCUGACUGUGAGCAAUUAUCCAUCUUAUAAUCAAAUAUUAACUUUCUGUCUUGUUCCUAAAUAUGUUAAAGUAUGUUUCUCUUGCCAUAUGCUUUUUAAUUCUCUCUGGGGCAUUCUCCUGGGCCCCUCACCAUGGUCUCCUGGAUUUUGAGUCUGUUCCCAUAGGCCAGGGAGUUUCACAGAGACCCCGUUUGGAACAAGGUUCUCUGUCCUCUGGCAUUGUUAACCGGAACUGCUGACUCUUAAGUUCCAGUGCUUACAUGUUGCAAAAUCACGACUGUAGCUCAUCUGCAGCCCUCUCCCCCAGGCCUUUUACUGGGCUGCAGUCCGAUUAUACUUCACCUCCUUUUCUACACCCUUGGGAAGUGCAUCUGGGAGCUCUCCUCCUCUUCCCUCGCCUGUGUCUGAAUGCAGCAUGCCCACCUCGCACACACUGGUCUCUGCCUGCUCUUCUCCACUCUUGCAUCCAUAGCAACCCGCCCUGAGCUCAGGGCUCUCAAGAGCCACCUUCUACUUAGCUGUCUUCCUGGAAAGGACAACUGAAUGACUUCAGAAUGAAUUGCCGAUUAACUGGAAAUGGUACAUUUUGGUAAUACACGUUCCACUUUUUCCUCUUGGAAUGAAAGAUUUUCAUCCUGGUGCUCCAAAUGCACUCAUCCAUCCGUCCUUUAGUUUGAAGGAAGAUAAUAUAGUUUUACAUAAGGAAAUCAACAAGGAAAAAAUAGCUUCUGACAUACAAAAUGGAUUUUGAACCAAGGAACAGGUUCGAGAGCCAGCCAGACAUUGUUGAAAAAGCCUUCCCUCUUCUUCAUUGCCUUUUGUAAGUGACCAACUUGGCAUGAAGGGCACGGAGAGAACCCCUCCAGCAUGGAGAAGAUGACCCUUGCUCCACAGGCUGGCUCCAUGGCAGCUGAGGAGGAGGAUGGGGGCCUUGCAAGAAAAGCAGACUCCUUCUAGCUGCAGAGGUUGUGAGAUGGAGAAGAGGGAGAGAGAGCAGUGCAGACGUCCUCCUUCCCAGACAAGUUAGGCCACUGAAGUUGCCCCAGGUGAUGUGUCUGAGACCCCACGGAAAGUAAGCGGAGGAUUCGAGACCACAAACCGUGGGACAGUAAAACUGGUAAAAGCUUCCACUGGUAUGACGAGGAGCCGGCCCUGCCUCUCCACCGAGACAGGGAGGAACGCGUAGCCCUCUCCGGCUUCCGCCUCCGAGGUCUGGCGUGUUGGCCCACACCCUUUUGAACACGGCUGCCUCCUCCCUCGGCUUCUCCAGUGCCCUGCUCAUGCAGUUCUCCUUGCUUGUCCUCAACUCAUCUUUCCUCUGUCCCCCACCCCAAAUACGGACCGUUCCUUGGGGUUCCAAUCUCUCUCCUUUCUCCUUCUCCUUCUGUACAUUCACUUGGGAAAUUUCACUUGUGGCCAUGACUUCAACUACUCACUGACUGAAAUUAGUCCACAUCUCUCUCUUGAACCAUAGAAUUUAUUUCCCUUUGCCUAUAGAACACUCCUAUUCAAUAUCACGUAUCUCAAGCUCAGAAAGUCCCAAACCGAAAUUUAAUAGUUCCUCUAAACCCACAACCGCCUUUGGUGUUCCUUCUGCUAGAUUCCCUUUGGUGGUUCCCUGGAUCUUUGAGGAAUAAAGGUCCUGACUCCCAGAGAACCUUGCAUGAGCUGGUCACGCUAGCCUCCUCUUGGACUUCCCCAUCUCCAAGAUUUCUUGCUUUCUCCUUCCUAUUUUUCUGUUCCUUUGUCCUCCUCCUCCUCACUUCCCCUGAGUUCAGUGAGAAUACGAUCUGCUUCCAGGAUUCAGUUCAAGCAACUGCCUUCUCCAUGAUAGGACACCGGACACCAGGAAAAGAAGGUCAGGAUGCUUCUUCCCCACCUCUGCACACCCUGGAAGGCACCAUCUUGAAGGAGCAACUUCACGGCCGCAACCUCUUCCUUUGGGCAGGGCUCUAGCUGACUGCAGUUGGUUGUGGAAAUUUCCAGUCCUCCCACCCAUCUGGGAUUAUCUUACUAGCCCCACUUUAGUAACGGUUGGCCAAGUGCAUGGUAGUUCUUGGAGUAAUUUAGUCAGAGUGCUGUUGGGGAAAGUCUUCUAGAGAAAACAAUGCAAUCAUCAGAAUCUGAGCAAAACACAGCACACGGCUGAGCAUAUCAUACAUUCUGAGGAGGCAGCAGAGUGGGGUUAGAGGGCCUGCCGUAAGAAUGCCUGAACUUGAAUUUCAGCUCAGCUACCUAUUAGCUUUGUGACUGCGGGCAAGUUUCUGAGCCCAUCAGUGCCUCAGUAUCAUCUCUGCAAUGGAGAUGGUAACAAUGGUAUGUAUCUUCAGAUCCUGGUGAGGGGUAUAUCCGUGUGUGUGCAUGUAAGUAUGUGCAUGACACACACACAAACUCGUGACUUUAGAACAGUGCCCAGUACUGAAUAAGUGUUACCUAUUACUAUUUUUAGCUUGUUAGAUGACUAAAGGAAAAACCAGGGUUCAGUCCCACAAGAAAGAUUAUUUCCAACUAGAGUUGAGUAGUUUCCCUCUUUUACACCAAUAAAAACAACCACCAAACUCUCAACUCUCCAAUUAAACUGUGCACUGAAUAACAAGUUUAUAUAUCUUGUGUUUGUUUAGUUUAGCCCUUUACACUAGGAAAAUCACUUUCACUUACUGUUAUAUUAGGUAGCAGUAAAAACAAGAAAAGAACAAACAGGCUUUCUGAACGUGCAAUUCUUUACUUUGUGUGCAAAUACUUUGAUGAACUUCUCCUUAAAUAGCUGGGUCAAGCAAUUAUAGAAACUUCAAACACCAGGGCACCCUGUUAACAUGAGCCACGGUGCACCUCCGAGUUUGUGAUCUCUAUGGCCUUUGCUUCUCACAACAGUGAAAUCCCAGGAGGUAGGAGGAUUGGGUAUUACUGCCCUC
Sciurus carolinensis (gray squirrel) is the source of this 3296-nucleotide long non-coding RNA. RefSeq lists it as uncharacterized. The record is from RefSeq and is a predicted model, not a curated record. The transcript has 4 exons. NCBI's taxonomy places the organism in Eukaryota, Metazoa, Chordata, Mammalia, Rodentia, Sciuridae.